AUUUCGUGAUGGGGCUUUCCUUAAUAACUCUUUAAAUCUUUCCCAUACCUCAUAUAAAGAUUUUUCAUCCAUUUGCAAGAAGGAAGUGAUCUCAUUCCGCAACGU
Molecule: non-coding RNA, 105 nt
Organism: Gossypium hirsutum (cotton)
Lineage: Eukaryota; Viridiplantae; Streptophyta; Magnoliopsida; Malvales; Malvaceae
Source: Rfam